CCAUCCCUACGGGACGCAGCAGUGGGGAAUAUUGCACAAUGGGGGAAACCCUGAUGCAGCGACGCCGCGUGAGUGAAGAAGUAUUUCGGUAUGUAAAGCUCUAUCAGCAGGGAAGAAAAUGACGGUACCUGACUAAGAAGCCCCGGCUAACUACGUGCCAGCAGCCGCGGUAAUACGUAGGGGGCAAGCGUUAUCCGGAUUUACUGGGUGUAAAGGGGGCGUAGACGGUCCUGCAAGCCAGAUGUGAAAGCCCGGGGCUCAACCCCGGGACUGCAUUUGGAACUGUAAGGCUAGAGUGUCGGAGA
This 305-nucleotide ribosomal RNA is filed under the name uncultured bacterium. RNAcentral's name for it is "bacterial SSU rRNA". It matches the Rfam family "Bacterial small subunit ribosomal RNA", at positions 333 to 655 of the family's 1533-position model. The record is from RNAcentral.